This 250-nucleotide ribosomal RNA is filed under the name uncultured Verrucomicrobiota bacterium. RNAcentral describes it as "uncultured Verrucomicrobia bacterium partial 16S ribosomal RNA". It matches the Rfam family "Bacterial small subunit ribosomal RNA", at positions 524 to 773 of the family's 1533-position model. The record is from RNAcentral. Lineage: Bacteria; Pseudomonadati; Verrucomicrobiota.
UACAGAGGUCCCAAGCGUUGUUCGGAUUCACUGGGCGUAAAGGGUGCGUAGGUGGGUUUGUUAGUUCGAUGUGAAAGCCCGGGGCUUAACCCCGGAAUGGCAUUGGAUACUGCAGAGCUGGAGGACUGGAGGGGGGACUGGAAUUCUUGGUGUAGCAGUGAAAUGCGUAGAUAUCAAGAGGAACACCAGUGGCGAAGGCGAGUCCCUGGACAAUACCUGACACUGAGGCACGAAAGCCAGGGGAGCAAAC